GAAAAACUUUGAAUCUUAAUAUCUCUGUCGUUUCAACACCAAACUUCACAAAUUUUAUAUCAAAUUGAAGCCUUGAACUAGAAAAACACGAUCUUACCUAUUUGAGGUCCUAAAUUUGACGAAAAAUGACCGGAAAAAUCCUUUAAAAACAAGCUACUCCUGCAAACCCAUUACUGAGCUUAUUUCGACGUCCAAACUUAACCAAAAGUAGUCUAAAACACUAGAGGAGUUGUAAUAAUACCUUUCUAAGUCUCAAUAGCAAGUAAAACCUCGACUAUCACAUCGGGAAAACAGGGUACCCCGCCGGAGCUUCUAAGUUCUUGGGUUCCCGUGAACUGUUCUUUGUCCCAAAGGUGUCACUAGACUCGUGGAGCCACAAGGAAGACGAUAGUGACCUCCAAUCGCUCAAUCUGUGAGGUUUAGAAAGGUUUUGAGAGUUGUGAGCUCGGGUUGUACAGAAAAAGAGAGUUCGAGAAAGAGAGAGAGUGAAGGAGGUUUUGGGCACGUGUGUAUGUGUGUGUAUUGGUCACGGGAAUGGGUGGAAAUAAGAGAAGCAAGGCCUUGAUUGGGCCAUGAGGUUUAAAACUAGCAAUUGGUCCAAUAGAAAACGCAAAAUUCUAAUUGGACCCAAGCACAUAGGAGAUGUGGUGAUUGGUUCAUUUCCUUAGCCCAAUUUACACCUUCGUUUAUUCAUAACAUUUUCGUUACGAACCCAGUUUAAACCUAACUCACGUCAUAGCGCUCGCGACGUCAAGUAUGACUUAAUUACGUCAACGUAAAAAUAAUUUAAAACCAUAUGCAUACAUCCACAUCACAACGCCCCGAGGGCAUAAUCGUCAUUUCCACGCUUUCGAGGAUAAAAUAUAUUUUAAUUUGGGACGGGUCGUCACAGAAGCCGAACUAGAUUGUGAAUUGGAAAAUGGUGAGGAAAAUCACUCUCAUUGCUUGUUGAAAAAAUUGUACGUACGAAGUUCAUACGAAAUUGGUAAGUACAAUCAAUUUAAAAUGAUAUAUUGAGAAUAAAUUGAUAUAAAACACGCAUUUUACGAGAUUUGAUUUCGAAUAUAAAACUCUUAUCUAGAAAUAAAGAUAAAUAUCACUAUCGACUAGUUUUAUGUGACUACUUACAAUCAAUUACAAUAGCUAAUUGAUACAAUCCUAUAAUUAAGCAAAUCUUCUUGUCGCCGUUAAUAGGUUUAAUUUAUUUAUUUUUCUUGAGGUGCAGUGUCAAGUACCGCCCGCCAAACUUUGCCAUUUUCAUUCUCUCAAAUAUGAAACAUUCGAGAAAUAAGAUCGUCUGCAUGUGCAUGGGCCACCAUUUUAACAAUUCUUUGCCCAUUAGCUUGUGGGCCCGCCAUGCCUUCAUAGAACACGAAUUGAGAUGCAACAAGUGGAAGUCUUGGUGGACGACCGGAAGAAGGUUC
Molecule: long non-coding RNA, 1424 nt
Filed under: Malus domestica (apple)
Lineage: Eukaryota; Viridiplantae; Streptophyta; Magnoliopsida; Rosales; Rosaceae
Description: long non-coding RNA (MDOM_LNC010342)
Source: RNAcentral